Molecule: ribosomal RNA, 437 nt
Filed under: uncultured bacterium
Lineage: Bacteria
Description: bacterial SSU rRNA
Rfam family: Bacterial small subunit ribosomal RNA
Source: RNAcentral
AACGCGAAGAACCUUACCCAGGCUUGACAUCCUGCCAAGUUUUCCGAAAGGAAAAUGUGCCUUCGGGCCGCAGUGACAGGUGAUGCAUGGCCGUCGUCAGCUCGUGUCGUGAGAUGUUAGGUUAAGUCCUUCAACGAGCGCAACCCUUAUUACCAGUUGCCAUCAUUAAGUUGGGCACUCAGGUGAGACCGCCUCGGAUAACGGGGAGGAAGGCGGGGAUGACGUCAAGUCCUCAUGGCCUUUAUGUCCAGGGCUACACACGUGCUACAAUGGCCGGUACAAACCGUCGCAAACCCGUGAGGGGGAGCUAAUCGGAAAAAGCCGGCCUCAGUUCGGAUUGUAGUCUGCAACUCGACUACAUGAAGCUGGAAUCGCUAGUAAUCGCGGAUCAGAACGCCGCGGUGAAUACGUUCCCGGGCCUUGUACACACCGGAGUA